RNAcentral lists this ribosomal RNA (250 nucleotides) under uncultured bacterium. RNAcentral describes it as "partial 16S ribosomal RNA". It matches the Rfam family "Bacterial small subunit ribosomal RNA", at positions 524 to 773 of the family's 1533-position model. The record is from RNAcentral.
UACGUAGGUGGCAAGCGUUGUCCGGAAUUACUGGGCGUAAAGGGCGCGUAGGCGGGAGGCCAAGUCGGUCGUGAAAUCUUCGGGCUCAACUCGAAGGCGUCGGCCGAAACUGGUUUUCUUGAGGGAGGCAGAGGAGUCUGGAAUUCCCGGUGUAGCGGUGAAAUGUGUAGAGAUCGGGAGGAACACCGGUGGCGAAGGCGGGACUCUGGGCCUACCCUGACGCUGAGGCGCGAAGGCGUGGGGAGCAAAC